GCAUGUUUCCUCACAAUAUUGUUUUGAACAUUAGUUUUAGGACUGAGCAUUCUACUCAAUGCCUUCUCAAUGAGCACUGAUGAAGAUUUCAUAAAAAGUGCAACACAGUGGCUUGGACAUUUCAAAAGGAGGCUAAUAAUUAGACCUGAGCCCUAGGACCAUGCCUCAGGACUACCUGGCUUGAUGACUCCUUGCUGUCCCCAGUCCACCUGGCCGUGCUGCUGCUUCAGUUCCAACUGUUCUGCCUGCGGCUAUGGAACCCUGACCUGUUCACCGGACGUGCUACCUGUCCCAGACCUGCUGUUUUCAACAGCAGGAGAGGUAGAGAUACUCUCAAAGAUCGGUUAUGAAAAAGCCAACUGACACUUACUCUUGUGUUACUGACUUGUUGCACCCUCGACAACUACUAUGAUUAUUAUUAUUUGACCAUGCUGGUCAUUUAUGAACAUUUGAACAUCUUGGCCAUGUGCUGUUAUAAUCUCCACCCCGCACAGCCAGAAGAGGACUGGCCACCUCUCAUAGCCUGGUUCCUCUCUAGGUUUCUUCGUAGGUUUUGGCCUUUCUAGGGAGUUUUUCCUAGCCACCGUGCUUCUACACCUGCAUUGCUUGCUGUUUGGGGUUUUAGGCUGGGUUUCUGUACAGCACUUUGAGAUAUCAGCUGAUGUAAGAAGGGCUAUAUAAAUACAUUUGAUUUGAUGUAUGCUCUUACCUUUUAAAGAGGUUAAUUUUAAGCGCACCUCAUGUAUUGGAAAGAUCCAUGUCUGGUAAAGUCAAAGAGCACCUAGGAAUGA
RNAcentral lists this long non-coding RNA (791 nucleotides) under Salmo salar (Atlantic salmon). RNAcentral's name for it is "lncRNA (ENSSSAG00000082527.1)". Lineage: Eukaryota; Metazoa; Chordata; Actinopteri; Salmoniformes; Salmonidae. The record is from RNAcentral.